AAUGAACGCUGGCGGCGUGCUUAACACAUGCAAGUCGAACGAGGCGGAGGGGGCAACCCCUCCAGUCGAGUGGCGGACGGGUGAGUAACACGUGGGUAACCUGCCCGGAAGUGGGGAACACCUCGGGGAAACGUCGAGCUAAUACCGCAUGACAUCUUCGGGACGAAAGUCCUGACGAUCAAAGCGGGGCCGCAAGGCCUCGCGCUUCCGGAUGGGCCCGCGCCCGAUUAGCUAGUUGGCGAGGUAACGGC
Molecule: ribosomal RNA, 251 nt
Filed under: uncultured bacterium
Lineage: Bacteria
Description: partial 16S ribosomal RNA
Rfam family: Bacterial small subunit ribosomal RNA
Source: RNAcentral